RNAcentral lists this ribosomal RNA (465 nucleotides) under uncultured bacterium. RNAcentral's name for it is "partial 16S ribosomal RNA". It matches the Rfam family "Bacterial small subunit ribosomal RNA", at positions 338 to 795 of the family's 1533-position model. The record is from RNAcentral.
CCUACGGGUGGCAGCAGUGGGGAAUAUUGCGCAAUGGGCGAAAGCCUGACGCAGCGACGCCGCGUGAGGGAUGAAGGUCUUCGGAUCGUAAACCUCUGUCAGCAGGGAAGAACGGUCACUGUGCUAAUCAGCAGUGAAUUGACGGUACCUGCAAAGGAAGCACCGGCUAACUCCGUGCCAGCCGCCGCGGUAAUACGGAGGGUGUGAGCGUUAAUCGGAAUUACUGGGCGUAAAGCGCUCGUAGGCGGUAUGUCAAGUCAAGUGUGAAAUCCCCGCGCUCAACGUGGGAACUGCCUUUGAAACUGGCAAACUGGAGUGUGUGAGAGGAUAGUGGAAUUCCAGGUGUAGGAGUGAAAUCCGUAGAUAUCUGGAGGAACAUCAGUGGCGAAGGCGACUAUCUGGCACACAACUGACGCUGAGGAGCGAAAGCGUGGGUAGCAAACAGGAUUAGAUACCCCAGUAGUC